This 277-nucleotide ribosomal RNA is filed under the name Skeletonema menzelii. RNAcentral's name for it is "partial Bacterial large subunit ribosomal RNA". It matches the Rfam family "Bacterial large subunit ribosomal RNA", at positions 417 to 695 of the family's 2925-position model. The record is from RNAcentral. Lineage: Eukaryota; Bacillariophyta; Thalassiosirophyceae; Thalassiosirales; Thalassiosiraceae.
GCGGGGCACGUGAAACCUUGUCUGAAUAUGGGGGGACCAUCCUCCAAGGCUAAAUACUCCUGACUGACCGAUAGUGAACCAGUACCGUGAGGGAAAGGCGAAAAGAACCCCGGAGAGGGGAGUGAAAUAGAACCUGAAACCGUAUGCGUACAAGCAGUGGGAGCCCACUUUGUUGGGUGACUGCGUACCUUUUGUAUAAUGGGUCAACGACUUAGUGUAACUAGCAAGCUUAAGCCGGUAGGUGUAGGCGCAGCGAAAGCGAGUCUGAAUAGGGCGU